UUGAAAGGUGCUUGCAUCUUGAUUUAAUUUUGAACGAGUGGCGGACGGGUGAGUAACACGUGGGUAACCUGCCCUUAAGUGGGGGAUAACAUUUGGAAACAGAUGCUAAUACCGCAUAAAUCCAAGAACCGCAUGGUUCUUGGCUGAAAGAUGGCGUAAGCUAUCGCUUUUGGAUGGACCCGCGGCGUAUUAGCUAGUUGGUGAGGUAACGGCUCACCAAGGCAAUGAUACGUAGCCGAACUGAGAGGUUGAUCGGCCACAUUGGGACUGAGACACGGCCCAAACUCCUACGGGAGGCAGCAGUAGGGAAUCUUCCACAAUGGACGCAAGUCUGAUGGAGCAACGCCGCGUGAGUGAAGAAGGCUUUCGGGUCGUAAAACUCUGUUGUUGGAGAAGAAUGGUCGGCAGAGUAACUGUUGUCGGCGUGACGGUAUCCAACCAGAAAGCCACGGCUAACUACGUGCCAGCAGCCGCGGUAAUACGUAGGUGGCAAGCGUUAUCCGGAUUUAUUGGGCGUAAAGCGAGCGCAGGCGGUUUUUUAAGUCUGAUGUGAAAGCCCUCGGCUUAACCGAGGAAGUGCAUCGGAAACUGGGAAACUUGAGUGCAGAAGAGGACAGUGGAACUCCAUGUGUAGCGGUGAAAUGCGUAGAUAUAUGGAAGAACACCAGUGGCGAAGGCGGCUGUCUGGUCUGUAACUGACGCUGAGGCUCGAAAGCAUGGGUAGCGAACA
This 730-nucleotide ribosomal RNA is filed under the name Lacticaseibacillus rhamnosus. RNAcentral's name for it is "bacterial SSU rRNA". It matches the Rfam family "Bacterial small subunit ribosomal RNA", at positions 62 to 774 of the family's 1533-position model. Lineage: Bacteria; Bacillati; Bacillota; Bacilli; Lactobacillales; Lactobacillaceae. The record is from RNAcentral.